RNAcentral lists this ribosomal RNA (465 nucleotides) under uncultured bacterium. RNAcentral's name for it is "bacterial SSU rRNA". It matches the Rfam family "Bacterial small subunit ribosomal RNA", at positions 26 to 507 of the family's 1533-position model. The record is from RNAcentral.
AGGACGAACGCUGGCGGCGCGCUUAAUACAUGCAAGUCGAACGAGAAGCCAGAGCUUGCUCUGGUGGAAAGUGGCGAACGGGUGAGUAACACGUGAGAAACCUGCCCCAAAGAUUGGGAUAAGCCUUGGAAACGAGGUCUAAUACCAAAUACCUUCCUUUUAACACAUGUUAAAAAGAAGAAAUGCUCCGGCACUUUGGGAUGGUCUCGCGAUCUAUCAGCUUGUUGGUGAGGUAACGGCUCACCAAGGCAUCGACGGAUAGCUGGUCUGAGAGGAUGUCCAGCCACAUUGGAACUGAGACACGGUCCAAACUCCUACGGGAGGCAGCAGUAGGGAAUCUUGCACAAUGAGGGAAACCUUGAUGCAGCGACGCCGCGUGCGGGACGAAGGCCCUAGGGUUGUAAACCGCUUUCAGUAGGGACGAAAGUGACGGUACCUACAGAAGAAGCCCCGGCCAACUAUGUG